AGCAUAUCAAUAAGCGGAGGAAAAGAAACCAACAGGGAUUGCCUCAGUAACGGCGAGUGAAGCGGCAACAGCUCAAAUUUGAAAUCUGGCGCCUUCGGCGUCCGAGUUGUAAUUUGUAGAGGAUGUUUCGGCGAGGGCUCCCGUCUAAGUCCCUUGGAACAGGGCGUCACAGAGGGUGAGAAUCCCGUAUGUGAUGGGUUGCUCGAGCCAUGUGAAGCUCCUUCGACGAGUCGAGUUGUUUGGGAAUGCAGCUCUAAAUGGGAGGUAAAUUUCUUCUAAAGCUAAAUACCGGCCAGAGACCGAUAGCGCACAAGUAGAGUGAUCGAAAGAUGAAAAGCACUUUGGAAAGAGAGUUAAAAAGUACGUGAAAUUGUUGAAAGGGAAGCGCUUGCAACCAGACUCGCGCGCAGUUGCUCAGCCGGUCUCCUGACCGGUGUACUCUUCUGCGUCCGGGCCAGCAUCAGUUCGGGCGGUCGGAUAAAGGCCUCGGGAAUGUGGCUCCCCUCGGGGAGUGUUAUAGCCCGGGGUGCAAUGCGGCCAGCCUGGACUGAGGAACUCGCUUCGGCUAGGAUGCUGGCGUAAUGGUUGUAAGCGGCCCGUCUUGAAACACGGACCAAGGAGUCUAACAUCUAUGCGAGUGUUUGGGUGUCAAACCCAUGCGCGUAAUGAAAGUGAACGGAGGUGGGAACCCUCACGGGUGCACCAUCGACCGAUCCUGAUGUCUUCGGAUGGAUUUGAGUAAGAGCAUAGCUGUUGGGACCCGAAAGAUGGUGAACUAUGCCUGAAUAGGGUGAAGCCAGAGGAAACUCUGGUGGAGGCUCGCAGCGGUUCUGACGUGCAAAUCGAUCGUCAAAUUUGGGUAUAGGGGCGAAAGACUAAUCGAACCAUC
This 889-nucleotide ribosomal RNA is filed under the name Kellermania uniseptata. RNAcentral's name for it is "LSU rRNA". It matches the Rfam family "Eukaryotic large subunit ribosomal RNA", at positions 37 to 944 of the family's 3401-position model. The record is from RNAcentral. Lineage: Eukaryota; Fungi; Ascomycota; Dothideomycetes; Botryosphaeriales; Planistromellaceae.